RNAcentral lists this long non-coding RNA (827 nucleotides) under Homo sapiens (human). Its description in RNAcentral is "HSALNT0055228". The record is from RNAcentral. Lineage: Eukaryota; Metazoa; Chordata; Mammalia; Primates; Hominidae.
CUUGGCUCUCUAAAUUCAUCACAGCUACAGGAACAACUGACUUUCCUCUAGAGGAUUUGAACUGGAGGAGGCUUGAAGUUGAACAAUGGAACUCUCAGUACCAACUUCCCUUUACAGUCUGAUCUCAGAAAUCUGACAGCCAGUUGUAUUCCCCCAGACCCUCUACCUUCACCUGUACUGAGGUUGUCCCACAUGGCAGUUUCAGGCGCAAUUCUUCUGGAGAUGACAAAGGGCAGGAAGGUGCUUCAGGUACGUGGGGAGGUGCUCUUUGUCGUUCACACCCAUGCACUGAGGAUUUCUCUGCCUGAUACAGAGAGCCUCAUGGAGCCACCAUUGGUAAUAUUCCCUCUUUCAACUACCUGCCACAUGCCAGGCUGUUGCAUUUGCUGCUAUAUACAUGGAAAAAUAAAAUUCUGAUUAUAAUAUAUUAUAAGUAUGAUUAAAAUAGGAUGCAGUGAGAGACAAUAAUGAAGAAGACAUGUGUAUUUGGAAGACUUACUUAGAUCAGGAAGCCUCUCUCAGGAAGUGACCUUUUACUCAAAGCCUGGAGGGAAAAGAUAUCCACAAGCUAUUGACGAUAUCAUAUUUCCAAUAGAGGCAGAGUGUAAAAUGCCAUUAUUGUAACCUAUCGGAGCAGCCUGUUCAGCUGAGCUGUAACAGCCUCUGGGUCUGAAAGUUGCUUUCAUUUUGGUUUCACUCACGAAGACUGUGCUAAAAUCAGAGGGAUGAAAGAAUAAUGUUCCUCCUUAAGUUCCUAACAUGCCUGGCCACUUAGUGGGGUAAAGGAAAUAUCUAUGCUUGUUUGAGGAUCAAAUAAAAAGAUAAUU